AGGCCUUACUAUAAAUUAGAUGGCGAACGCUAGGGUUUUGCUCUAGUCGCACUCGGCACUCGCCUGUUAUCCAUCUGUUUCGCGAGGAUUCUUGAGCGUAGAUUUCGUGUUUCGUCAUGAGAGCCAAGUGGAAGAAGAAGCGGAUGAGGAGGUUGAAGAGGAAGCGUCGAAAGAUGAGGCAGAGAUCCAAGUAGUUUUCUUUGCUGAUUCCGGUCCUGGUCCCUUCCGCGUUCUAGUGUUCUUGUUUUUAGACGUAUUUUUGAUUUCGUGAAUUUCAAUUUGUAUUAGUACUAUUAAAUUUUGGAAUUACAGUUGAUACUUAUGCAUCCAAUCAAUUUAUAUUUCAAUAAUUUCCAAGUUUUAGUU
Molecule: long non-coding RNA, 366 nt
Organism: Olea europaea var. sylvestris
Lineage: Eukaryota; Viridiplantae; Streptophyta; Magnoliopsida; Lamiales; Oleaceae
Exons: 2
Source: RefSeq, a predicted model, not a curated record